This is a long non-coding RNA of Wyeomyia smithii (pitcher-plant mosquito), 475 nucleotides long. RefSeq lists it as uncharacterized. The transcript has 5 exons. NCBI's taxonomy places the organism in Eukaryota, Metazoa, Arthropoda, Insecta, Diptera, Culicidae. The record is from RefSeq and is a predicted model, not a curated record.
UUCGGGAUGUCGCAAACUUGGAAAAAACCGCAAGCAGCCAUAGAAUCAACAAGGAGCUCUUCUUCUGGUUGACGGACAUCAAACGCUUCAAGUGACGAAUCGACUAUGUUUCGCAUGCUUCCAACGUACGAUGCAAAACGGCAAAAGUUCGAGUCGGGAGGAGGAUUCAAAAGCUACAUUGCUACAAAGCCGUUCAUUAACAGCAAUGAGAACACCGCCACCACUGCUCUUAUCGGAAUUGGUUGAGGAUCUAUCACAACGAAUGCGUAAAUGUCGAAAUCGCGCUCCAGUGCAGACAUGAAAAUUGCUUGAAGACGGCCACUACUCCGGAUACUGUUUACAUUCUGACGGCUCAGGUAAACGAGAGAUAAACACAUUGUGUCCUGUAGCGGGAAGCAACGGCAUGGGUGAGAUCGAACUAGACUGUCGGAGGCUGCUCAUUGUUUGGUUGUUCGUUGUUUGGCUGGACUGGCGG